This 2254-nucleotide long non-coding RNA is filed under the name Malus domestica (apple). Its description in RNAcentral is "long non-coding RNA (MDOM_LNC012904)". The record is from RNAcentral. Lineage: Eukaryota; Viridiplantae; Streptophyta; Magnoliopsida; Rosales; Rosaceae.
AUAGUCAUAAAGUUCAAACCAUUCAACUGAGACAGUUUAUAAAUCCUUCUCGACUACCUUGGAGCCUUUGGUAUAGGAACUAGGUUGUUAUAUUUGUUGAUUACUUUCUUAUCUCUCAAAGAACCCAUCCUUUGAGUUCUAUCUCUCGUUCAUUAGCUCUUAGGCAAAUCACAUUGUAGGAUUACAAUGAACUACCCAACAAAACAACAUUUGUUAGUUGGUUUAUAGAAGCGAUAUCCAAAAGUUAAUUUAAGGAUAUCCCACAAGAUUGUUAUCAAACAAAUAUUGCUAAUUAGCACACAACCCCAAAUCUUAACAUGCUUAAGAUUUGUCUUUCUUUCCAACUACAUCUUAUGGAGUCAUGAAAAUUUUGGAAAGAUCUUCUAAUUUACAAUCAUAUUGUUUUAGAAGUAUAUAUCCUAUAUAUGGGUAAUAGAUAACAUCUAACGAACUAAAUCUUAUUCAAGUUCGUUCUUCUCCUAAUGGAGAAAUUCAUUAUCUUAUGAUGCUUCUUUCCUUGAUAUCUUUCAAGGAAACUCAUCUAAAGUGUUACUUUUCCUUGGAUCAAAUCUAAGGAGGUAAAUACUUUAGACGUCUUACUCAUUAACUUACAUUUCUUGAAUUCUUUGAAACCUUUUGCAAAGUAUUCGGACUUGUGUUUAUUCAAAAUAAACUAUAGUCCAACCGAGAGUGAUCUUCGGUGAACGUCAUACAACAUGAGUAGUAUUAUGUUGUGGACAAGUGCCACUAAUCAUCUAAGUGAAUUAACCUCAACAACUUUGUGAUUCUUUCUUCUUUCCAAAAGAAUAAAGAUUCGAACAUUUCGCCUCUAUACAAUUUUAAUAAGAAGGUAUUGGAUCCGGAUCUAACAAUCCAAAGUAUCCAUUUUUCACCAACUCAUACUUAUGUUUUAGAGGUAUCACAACUCAGUUGGGAUUAGUCACUACCUUGCAACCUUUUGGGUUUUAAGCAUCAUUAUAUUCUAAACAAUUAACACUACCAUAUCAUCUCUACUAUAGAGACAAUCAAUUAGAUUACUAUAAUCCAAUCAUUGAUUAAUAAAGAACAAUGUUUUGUCAAACAAAGCAUUCAUCCAUCUCUACUAUAGUGACGGAAUUAAGUUCCUUAAAAUUGGAAUGUAAAGACUAUCUUUGGUUUUUCCAAUUUCUUUGGUAGUUCAUAUGAGGAAGUAAGUACUAUCUGCUUUCGCAGAGAUCUAUAUUUUAUUCACGUUCCGAAUGUGAAGCACCUUUUCUUCUCUCAUAUAUCUUCUACUUCUUAUUAGUCACACUUUUACAACGAUUGUAAAAUAUAGUUACUAAUACGGAAUCAAGCAUUCAAGUAGAAGAACCAACUGUUUUGAACUAUUCAAGAACAAUUUACAACACCUUCGAAAGGUGUGUUCUUGACACUUGCAAGACAUUUCUUGCAAAUACCCCUUCCAAUGUCCACCUUUUAUAAAGAAAGUUUGUUAUCUUGGAGUUAAUUUUUAUCUUCUUCAUUUGACUUUCACCUUUGACUACAAUAGUCAUGGUCCUUAAACUCCCACUAUCUCUCUUGAAACUUAUUUCAAUUGUGUUAUACACAUCAAACAUUUUGGAGAGCAUGUGGUUAUUGUUCACUACAUAGUUUACAAUAAACUUAGUGAACCAUUAGGAUAAGGAAACAAAGGUGAAGUCCUUGCCUAGUUUCCGUCUCAUUAAGUGGUUUUACACUUCAACACUCAAUGAUUCAAAAUCAUCAUAAGUCCAUGUUGAUGGACUAUUUUUGUCAACCAACCAUUAUGUUCUAAACAUAAUUACAAACUUUCAAGAGUUGUUCAAGGCAACUCUCAUUUCUUCAUACAACAAUUUGUAAGUGAAGAAUCAUGGCACAUAAAGUGUCCAUGCCCUUGUGCUUACUUCUAAAGUUCCUUGUUCAUGUAACAAAGAAACAAGCACUAAUGUUUGCAUUGAUUAAGGGUUGUUCAAAGCAACUCUUAUUUCUUCAUACAACAAUUUGUAAUUGAAGAAUUAUGACAUUAAAAAUGUUGUCCUCUUUAUGAUAGACAUUUUCUAACAUAUUCUUCUAUUGAUACAUUAUCAAUAGGAAGAUUGUGAGGAUGAGACUACUUAGGUACAUUUACAAGCCAUUAAAGACAAUCUAUGGUUUUGUAGUACCAAGUCCGGAAACUAAAGCUUUCGGUUUUUAUUUGUCAAGUGUUGGAUAGCGUUUGCAAAUAUAUUGGUAAACAAAUACAUAACGAAUAUAAAUU